GUCUUUUGUCUUUUUUGUUGUUGUUGUUGUUGCUAUUUCUUGGGCCGCUCCUGCGGCAUAUGGAGGUUCCCAGGCCAGGGGUUGAAUCGGAGCUGUAGCCACCGGCCUACGCCAGAGCCACAGCAACGCGGGAUCCGAGCCACAUCUGCGACCUACACCACAGCUCACGGCAACGGCAACGCCGGAUCGUUAACCCACUGACCAAGGGCAGGGACCGAACCUGCAACCUCAUGGUUCCUAGUCGGAUUCGUUAACCACUGCGCCACGAAGGGAACUCCCAGCAGUUCUUGAAAAAAUGAAACAAAAGACAAAACAAAAAACCUUCAUAUACAAUGAACAUCUUUUUCCAUUAAGUGACAAAAACAUCAAACUUCCCUUCAGAACUUAAAACAUAAAAAAUUUCCUCCACCUUGCUUCAGGUUUGAUGCUCCAAAUUUCUUUUUUUCCCCUUUAUUUAUUUUUAUUUAUUUAUUUUCAUUUGCUAUUUGGACAUUAUUUUUUAAUCAUCUUAAUAUCCAGCUUACUUUUACAUUGUUAUGUUAAUUCAACAUUGUUAUUCCACAGCACCAUUUCAUUCUCUUCCCACUGUCUCUGAAUAUGCGUACUUCAGUACUCUCUGUUUACAUGGAAAAAAACAGGUGCGGGACUUUUCGGUUUUUGUUUUAUAAUUUUAUGAUUUUUAUUUUUUCCAUUAUAGUUGAUUUACAGUGUUCUGUCAGUUUCUAUGGCACGGCAAAGUCACCCAGACAUACACACACACAUAUGUAUAUAUAUAUAUUUACAUAUAUUCUUUCUCCCACAUUAUCCUCCACCAUGUUUGGUUCUCCAAAUUUCUUUAGGACAUAAAGAGAAAUAUUGUCCAACCCUGUCCUCCAACUACCUCUCUCCUUCUCCUAAGAGAAUGAAAUGAUACCAUUAGUUUUUUUUAACCUUCCAGAGACGUUCUAGCUAUCCACAACUGUUCAUAAAUUCUUUUUUACACUCUUCUAUGCCUUGUUCUUAAGAUUGUAUCUCCAAGAGUAUAACAUAUCAGGAUAUAAUGAGCUUCCUUUUUCUAUCUUUAUGGUUCUAUAUAGGACUUUUUAACAACGUAUAAACCAGUUUCUGUGGCCCUAGUCUCUUGUCCAAACAAUUCAUUAAAUAUUCAUUUUGCUGGAGAAGUCCAUCCUAUUUUUAAAAAAUUAAUAAAUAUACACUCCACUCCCAAAUGUAAAUAUUUUCUAUAUACUAGAUCAUGUUAUUAUAGCAAUGAAAAACUUGUUGGAUAUGACCAUUUUAUUGGGGUUAUAUAGAAGAAAUUCCUCUUUAGCAGGUAUUUGGAGGUGAAACGUGGUAUCUACAACUUAUGUUCAAGUGGUUAAGCAAAAUGAUGCAAAUUUACAUACCACAUUUGAUUCAAAGCACAUAAAUACACAGAGCAUGAAGGCAACUGUGGCAAAUGUUAACAAGCGAUUAAUCUAGAAGAAGGGUAUACAGGUAUUCAUAGUACUAUUUUUCCAAAGUUUUGAAAAUGUCAAAAUGAAAAGAUAGGGUAAAAAGGCUCUGGCACUUCUGUAGGGUCCCCUUAUUUUUGGCCUUAAAACAUAUAAGAAUUUCCAACUCCCAGGCCUGUGUCUUAACCUAACCCAAUUUCAUCCCUCAUUCUCUCUCUCAAGAGAAAAUUAAAACGAGUUCUUUAGCUCUUCUUAACUACUGGUCCUUCAAACUGCUGGAACGUCGUGGCUCCAUGGGGGCUUCCCCCACUGCUGGAGCCCUUCUCCCUUCCCUCGCCACGCUCUGGGGUCCUCAGACAUUCGCUGCACCUUUUCAAGGACCAAGCACUGGGGACCCAGCUAGACAGCAAAUGCCUAGAGGAAGAAGCUCUGGAUGAAUACUUCGUUUGUAAUUCCCACAGCACCCAGUUCAAAAAGUGUCUGCUGAAAGAAUGGGUUUCUUCAGAUAAAGAAGAGCAUGGGAAACCCUGCUAAGUACUGAGGGAAAGGUCUCGAAGCUCAGUUUUCUUAGAAAAGUUUCUCUAGUGUCCUCAGCUUUUUCUCCAAUAUGUUAAACUCAUCUCAUCUUUCCUAUCCUUCCAGAUAAUGCCACACCUGCCUGCUCCCUGACACAAUAACAGAUUAUCCUACUGAGAAUGGAAAAACCUGUUCCACAAUCUCAAAUAAAGCAACUCCACAAGUUAGAAUAGUCAAUUCUUCUCACUUACAUGACAUUCCUCUCUAAUACUGUAACAGACUCUCAACAAUUUGGGGGAGGGAGGCAGCACCUCUAAGUCAUCUGUCUGUGGAAUAUUCCUGCACAGAACUCAUCCACCAGUUUGAAACUAGGGAAGACCGGCCUCCGAGUAUGUGUUUACUUCAGUUAAUCAAGGUGAUGCCAGAGGCAUCUAUCAUGUUGCCUAAGACAAAAAAAUAGCAUCUAAGAAAAAUACACUUAGGAAAAGUUGAUUCACUAACAGGAAAAAAUACAAAUGAUACCUACCUAAAAAUAGGAAAAAAUAAUGCUUCUUGAAAUAAGAUUCAAGUUGAAAUGGCACAAAUUGUAAAUUUACAAAUGUAAAAUAGGAAGAGUCUAAAUCUAUUUCAUCUCUCUCACCUGAGUAAAAGUCAUAGACCUGGAAGAGAUCUUAAAGUUCAACCCUCCAAAAAGUGAGAUCUAGAGAGGUUACACACCCAGUCCAACACCCCAUAACUAGCAAAUGAAAGUCAAAAUAGAUUUAGAAUGCAUAUAUUUUUCCAGGCUUCUCUGCCCAUUUCACCUCUAAAUUUCAUAUUUCAUAUAUUUAACUUUCCGUCCAAAAAAAUUGAGAGUGAAUAGGGAAGUGAAAGACCUCAUUGUAGUCAGCUAUGCCACCAGGCAGGUGUGUAAAAUUGAAUAAACUGUCUCAUCUAUAAAACAAGAAGACUGAAUUAAAUUAGCUCUGAAGCCCCUUAGAGCUAAAAUACCUUCUGAUCCUUGACAGUGGCAUAAGUAAUAGUUGCGUAUUUAACACAAAUCUUAGUCACAUUUUUUAAUAUCAAACUUUGUUACGGCUUAAGCAAUUUAUAAAACAUUUUUGUAACCCAAAUCACAUCUUUGUUUACCAAAAAUUUCAAAUUUUAAAUACAAAGAAUCCUGAAAUUCAUUGUCUACAUGAUUAUGAUUACCUAAAUUUUGGCAGGAAGGCCUUUAUUUAUUUAAUUAUUUUUUGUCUUUUUGCCUUUUCUAGGGCCACUCCCUCGGCAUACGGAGGUUCCCAGGCUAGGGGUCUAAUUGGAGCUGUAGCCGCUGGCCUACACCAGAGCCACAGCAACUCGGGAUCCGAGCUGCGUCUGUGACCUACACCACAGCGCACGGCAAUGCCAUGCGAGCGAGGCCAGGGAUCGAAUCCGCAACCUCAUGGUUCGGUCCCUGCCCUUGCUAGGUGGGUUAAGGAUCUGGCGUUGCCAUGAGCUAUGGUGUAGGUUGCAGACGCGGCUCGGAUCCCGCGUUGCUGUGGCUCUGGCGUAGGCCAGUGGCUACAGCUCCGAUUUGACCCCUAGCCUGGGAACCUCCAUAUGCCGCAAGAGUGGCCCAAGAAAUAGCAAAAAGACAAAAAAAAAAAAAAAAAACCUCUUUAAAACAAAUCUAUUGUUGAAAUGUUGCUGUUUUUUAAAAUCUCAAAUGAUCUAAUAUUGAAAAAUGUUUAUCUUGAAAAUACUCUGUAGCUGAUAUGAAAUGAUUCAAUAGGGUAUAGUUCAUUAAGCUUUUUAUAAAGUCCUUGUUCCAAACUGCUCGUUAGGUAGUGACAAACAAUACAGAUGGCAAAGAGCAAACUCCUUUGUUCAUUUUCAGAAGAAUUAAAUUAAUAGCAGAAGGAAUAUUAAUUUUGACCCCUUUAAAAGUGGGAGCAACGGAAGAUUUUGGUCUCUUCUUCCAGCAAAAUAGGGGAAGCGUACAAGCACAGUAACUUUUCACUCACCAAGUCAAAGCCUUAAAAUAGAUCACAGAUUUCAAAAAUAAAAUCCAAGAGUUCCCAUUAUGGCUCAGUGGGUUAAGAGCCUGACACAGUGUCCAAGAAGAUGUGGGUUCGAAGGAUCUGGUGUUGCUAUGGCAGUGGUGUAGGCCAGCAGCUGCAGCUCUGAUCUGACCCCGAGCCUGGUAACUUUCACAUGCUGCAGAUAUGACUGUAAAAAAAAAAAAAAAAAUUAAAAUUAAAAAAAUAAAGAUAAAGAUAAAAUCCAAGGAAAAGCUAUAAAUGGCCUUUUAUUUAAAAAACACUUUCCAGGAGUUCCUGCUCUGGCACAAUAAGAUCAGCAGCAUAUCUGGAGCACUGGGACUCAGGUUCAGAUCUGAUCCCUGGCCUGGGAACUCCAUAUGCUGCGGGAGGCCAAAAAAGGUAAAAAUAAAACAAAACUUUUCACUUAAUUUCGAGUACCUGCAUUUUCAAGCAACAAUCACUGAAGAGUGAAGAAUUAUCACAGAUUCUUUUAGAGCAGAGCCUAUAAAAAGUAGGUGUUAUCCAAGUUUGAAAAACCAAAAAUUAGAAAAAGCUGAAGGAACAGUAGUAACUCUGAGGGCAAAGCUUACGAAGUAGAUGUUCCUAGCACAGCAAUGAUUAACCUCUCUGGAAACAUGGAGACACAAGCAAAAAAGAUAAUCGAAGGUUUUUAGAAAACGGACAACAUGUGCAAUGAAUGCAUGAUACAGCAAUAAAAAGCAGAAAGCAAAACAGCUGUCCAUGGCCUUGACAAUGAACAGAUAAGUAGCUUGGUGUAGUUGCGAACAUUUUGAAAAGACUCAAUACUAACAAAAAUGCCCCUGGAAAUAGGAAACAAGAACUUAAGGUCACAGAUCAAGUACAACUUUGCAAAGGAAAAGAUCUGGAGUAACAUUUUUUUUUUAAUUGUACAAGAAUUAAUAGAAGUAUUAAGCAAGUUCCCAGAAACUGCCCUAGUGGUCUAAAUAUCACCCAGUACCUCUUUCAUAGAAAUGAAAGAAGCAGCAGAAUCUUCCAUACCAGAGUCAAUAACCCUUCCAAAGUGGAAUGCUUAGGUUUAGGGAUAUUCUGAUGUAGAUAAGAAUGGAGAAGGGUGCCCUUGAGCCCCGGCCCUAACUCCUGAAGGAAAAAGAGGGCCAGACAUCGCAGAGUCUAAUUCAAGGAGUCCUGGGUCUCCUGAUCCUGGAACUCAGAAGUAACACCCCUACACUGAGGCCAGUCUUGAUUAAUGUACAUCUUUCAAAAAGCUAAAGUACUCCUGGGAGGGUUUACAAUCCUACCCCAAUGUGAAUAAACUCAAUCACAGCACCUGAGGGCCAGAAACACCUUACUCCACCAACCCUUCAUUUUAUAGACGAGUAGCCCACGGCAUAGACUUGGACACUCUCGCAAGGUUCUGUAGCAAGUGAGAACUAGAAUGCAGAGGAAAGUGGAGCUCCUAGCAUAGCAUCCAAAGAGGUACCCACUAAUCAUUAUUAGAGAUCAACACUAUUCUACCCCUACACUCUUUCCACCAAACUAAAUAAGAUCAGUCAUGGCACAGAAAGAGAACUGAGAAGAAAAGGAAGAAGGCUGUGAAGGUAGGACCAUAAUGGACAUCCAGACGGGGUUUCGGCCAACCAGAAGCCCGCCACCUGGCUGUCAGAGAAACUAAUGUCAGAAGGUAGAAAGACAGGAACCUCAAGAGAUAUGGGACCACAACAAAGACAGAUGCUGCCACUUGCUAUGGUAUGAUUAAAUGCAAGAGAAAUACUAAAUGUCUUACCUCUCUAAAGCAAAGGAAGCUUUUCAAAGGUGCUGGGGGUGGGAGUGCAGUGGGGGGACAAACUCUAAGAAAGAUGGGAAGUGGGAAUCACACAGCAGCACCUCCCUCCCUCCCUCCGGCUGCUCAGUGAAAACUGGCUUAUGGGCUUUCCCCAGCACUCUUGUCAUAUAGACUGUCGGCCCCAUCCUCAAACUGUCAAGUCUGAAGAACUCAAAACAGUUUCACAGAUUUCGUUACAAAGAUUAUGUCACAGAUAGUUGAGUCAAGAAAUGACUGCAGAUCUGAAGAGCAAAUCACAUGGAGUUCUUUUCAAAGAAAGCAAGAGCAGAUAAAAGUCUCAGGCAGUAUCCAUGAAAUAUAGUCUAAAAUCAAUUAUAUGGAUGCUAAAUCAACUCUGACAUUUUAUAAAGGAAGAUAGAAAACAGAGUUUCAAAAUAAAAUUAAAACUGGUAGAUGUGAAAAGCAGGGAGAUUUUGUGGCCUCAGCUCAGCUUUGUGGCCUGUGCUACAUAAAUGAUUUGUUUCCUAAUCCAUAAAACACACUCAAUAAUAAGCACUGCGUGUGCCUUCCAGGAAUUUGAUUUAAACUAGUUAACGAUCAUAAAGCAAUCUAAAAAUGUAAGCACUGCAUGAAUUCUAGGUAUAACUUUGGAAAGGCAUUUGAUAUUAGUCAAGUAAUUUCAUCUGGUGAUAAUUUGAAGGAUUCACUGAAAAUGAAAAGGAAAACUCAUUAAUUUAUUUUCUAACAAAAGAAGCUUGUGCUAUUAACUAGUCUUGACACAUCCACAAAAAGUUUUAGAACAUUUAAUACUUUAAACCUUUCACUUUUACCCUCCCAUUCCCUAUUCCUUCUCCAUUUCUUUUUUAUUUUUUCGUUCUCAUAUAAGAUUAUGUCCCCCCCCCCCAAAUCUUACUUUCUUUCUUCUCCAGUAAGUUCACUCAUGUUAAAAUGUACCAUCAGGAGUUCCUGUCGUUGCUCAGCGGUAGCAAAUCCAACUACUGUCCAUGAGGACACAGUUUAGAUCCCUGGCCUCGCUCAGUGGGUUAAGGAUCCGGCGCUGCUGUGAGCUGUGGUGUAGGUCGCAGA
This 6803-nucleotide long non-coding RNA is filed under the name Sus scrofa (pig). RNAcentral describes it as "lncRNA (ENSSSCG00055027024.1)". Lineage: Eukaryota; Metazoa; Chordata; Mammalia; Artiodactyla; Suidae. The record is from RNAcentral.